This 460-nucleotide ribosomal RNA is filed under the name uncultured bacterium. RNAcentral describes it as "partial 16S ribosomal RNA". It matches the Rfam family "Bacterial small subunit ribosomal RNA", at positions 338 to 795 of the family's 1533-position model. The record is from RNAcentral.
CCUACGGGUGGCAGCAGUGAGGAAUAUUGGUCAAUGGCCGAGAGGCUGAACCAGCCAAGUAGCGUGAGGGAUGACUGCCCUAUGGGUUGUAAACCUCUUUUAUAGGGGAAUAAAGUGUUCCACGUGUGGCUUUUUGUGUGUACCAUAUGAAUAAGGAUCGGCUAACUCCGUGCCAGCAGCCGCGGUAAUACGGAGGAUCCGAGCGUUAUCCGGAUUUAUUGGGUUUAAAGGGAGCGUAGGCGGAUUGUUAAGUCAGUGGUGAAAUUUUGCGGCUCAACCGUGAAAGUGCAGUUGAAACUGGAAGUCUUGAGUACAGUAGAGGUGGGCGGAAUGCGUGGUGUAGCGGUGAAAUGCUUAGAUAUCACGAAGAACUCCGAGUGCGAAGGCAGUUCACUGGAGUGCAAAUGACACUGAGGCUCGAAAGUGCGGGUAUCAAACAGGAUUAGAUACCCUUGUAGUC